Molecule: ribosomal RNA, 484 nt
Filed under: uncultured bacterium
Lineage: Bacteria
Description: bacterial SSU rRNA
Rfam family: Bacterial small subunit ribosomal RNA
Source: RNAcentral
GAUGAACGCUAGCUACAGGCUUAACACAUGCAAGUCGAGGGGCAUCAGGAUGUAGCAAUACAUUGCUGGCGACCGGCGCACGGGUGAGUAACACGUAUCCAACCUGCCUUUUACUCGGGGAUAGGCUUUCGAAAGAAAGAUUAAUACCCGAUGGUAUAAUAUUCCGCAUGGGAUUAUUAUUAAAGAAUUUCGGUAAAAGAUGGGGAUGCGUUCCAUUAGGCAGUUGGCGGGGUAACGGCCCACCAAACCUUCGAUGGAUAGGGGUUCUGAGAGGAAGGUCCCCCACAUUGGAACUGAGACACGGUCCAAACUCCUACGGGAGGCAGCAGUGAGGAAUAUUGGUCAAUGGGCGGAAGCCUGAACCAGCCAAGUAGCGUGAAGGAUGACUGCCCUAUGGGUUGUAAACUUCUUUUAUAGGGGAAUAACAGACGUUACGUGUAGCGUUUUGCAUGUACCUUAUGAAUAAGCAUCGGCUAACUCCGUG